RNAcentral lists this ribosomal RNA (333 nucleotides) under Escherichia coli. RNAcentral's name for it is "partial 23S ribosomal RNA". It matches the Rfam family "Bacterial large subunit ribosomal RNA", at positions 860 to 1191 of the family's 2925-position model. Lineage: Bacteria; Pseudomonadati; Pseudomonadota; Gammaproteobacteria; Enterobacterales; Enterobacteriaceae. The record is from RNAcentral.
CGAAAGCUAUUUAGGUAGCGCCUCGUGAAUUCAUCUCCGGGGGUAGAGCACUGUUUCGGCAAGGGGGUCAUCCCGACUUACCAACCCGAUGCAAACUGCGAAUACCGGAGAAUGUUAUCACGGGAGACACACGGCGGGUGCUAACGUCCGUCGUGAAGAGGGAAACAACCCAGACCGCCAGCUAAGGUCCCAAAGUCAUGGUUAAGUGGGAAACGAUGUGGGAAGGCCCAGACAGCCAGGAUGUUGGCUUAGAAGCAGCCAUCAUUUAAAGAAAGCGUAAUAGCUCACUGGUCGAGUCGGCCUGCGCGGAAGAUGUAACGGGGCUAAACCAUG